UGCAGUCGAACGGUAGCACAGAGAGCUUGCUCUUGGGUGACGAGUGGCGGACGGGUGAGUAAUGUCUGGGAAACUGCCUGAUGGAGGGGGAUAACUACUGGAAACGGUAGCUAAUACCGCAUAACGUCGCAAGACCAAAGAGGGGGACCUUCGGGCCUCUUGCCAUCAGAUGUGCCCAGAUGGGAUUAGCUAGUUGGUGAGGUAAUGGCUCACCAAGGCGACGAUCCCUAGCUGGUCUGAGAGGAUGACCAGCCACACUGGAACUGAGACACGGUCCAGACUCCUACGGGAGGCAGCAGUGGGGAAUAUUGCACAAUGGGCGCAAGCCUGAUGCAGCCAUGCCGCGUGUGUGAAGAAGGCCUUCGGGUUGUAAAGCACUUUCAGCGGGGAGGAAGGCGGUGAGGUUAAUAACCUCAUUGAUUGACGUUACCCGCAGAAGAAGCACCGGCUAACUCCGUGCCAGCAGCCGCGGUAAUACGGAGGGUGCAAGCGUUAAUCGGAAUUACUGGGCGUAAAGCGCACGCAGGCGGUCUGUCAAGUCGGAUGUGAAAUCCCCGGGCUCAACCUGGGAACUGCAUUCGAAACUGGCAGGCUGGAGUCUUGUAGAGGG
RNAcentral lists this ribosomal RNA (610 nucleotides) under uncultured bacterium. RNAcentral describes it as "bacterial SSU rRNA". It matches the Rfam family "Bacterial small subunit ribosomal RNA", at positions 56 to 658 of the family's 1533-position model. The record is from RNAcentral.